UACACUCCUACGGGAGGCAGCAGUAGGGAAUCUUCCACAAUGGGUGCAAACCUGAUGGAGCAAUGCCGCGUGAGUGAAGAAGGUCUUCGGAUCGUAAAGCUCUGUUGUUAGAGAAGAACACGUGCUAGGUAACUACUAGCGCCUUGACGGUAUCUAACCAGAAAGUCACGGCUAACUACGUGCCAGCAGCCGCGGUAAUACGUAGGUGACAAGCGUUGUCCGGAUUUAUUGGGCGUAAAGGGAGCGCAGGCGGUCUGUUUAGUCUAAUGUGAAAGCCCACGGCUUAACCGUGGAACGGCAUUGGAAACUGACAGACUUGAAUGUAGAAGAGGAAAAUGGAAUUCCAAGUGUAGCGGUGGAAUGCGUAGAUAUUUGGAGGAACACCAGUGGCGAAGGCGAUUUUCUGGUCUAACAUUGACGCUGAGGCUCGAAAGCGUGGGGAGCGAACAGGAUUAGAUACCCGGGUAGUCCCAU
Molecule: ribosomal RNA, 474 nt
Filed under: uncultured organism
Description: partial 16S ribosomal RNA
Rfam family: Bacterial small subunit ribosomal RNA
Source: RNAcentral